Amphiprion ocellaris (clown anemonefish) is the source of this 557-nucleotide long non-coding RNA. The record is from Ensembl. Lineage: Eukaryota; Metazoa; Chordata; Actinopteri; Pomacentridae.
AGUAAAACACCAAAUCUGUGUGUGUGGAGGAGGUGUUUGAGGUGUGAUCGGUGCCCAGCAUCGCGGAUUACAGGUGUUUGCUGACAUGAAGACGGAUGGUGGCGUUGCUGCAGGACCCUCAUGCAGGCCGAACCUCACCACAGCUGCUGCACCAAUACGCCACUGAAGAUACUGAUCUGAAUAGGGAGGAUGCAAAGGUGGAAGCAGUCAGUGCUGGAUUCAGUUUCACUGCAUCUUAAUGGAGCACACACACACACACACACACACACACACACACACACACACACACACACACACACACACACACACACACACACACACACACACACACACACACACACACGGUUUUUUAAUAGUAUCUACUUCCCCCUUUUUUUGUGUGAGAGGACACAGAUACACCCUGAAUGGGCCCCUGUGGUGCUCUACAUUGUGGUUGGGAAGUACCUAAUGUUACAACUGUCAUGCUGAUCUGCUUAAAGGGACAGUGUUGAUCACUUUUCUCAGUAUUUUCUCAGGGGUCAUGUAGUGUCGCCCUAAAUAAGAGGUUGUCAGAGGAG